Molecule: non-coding RNA, 21 nt
Filed under: Caenorhabditis elegans
Lineage: Eukaryota; Metazoa; Nematoda; Chromadorea; Rhabditida; Rhabditidae
Source: RNAcentral
UAUGAAACAGGAAACAUUUCU